UACAGAGGGUGCGAGCGUUGUUCGGAAUUAUUGGGCGUAAAGCGCGUGUAGGCGGGAUGGCAAGUCGGGUGUGAAAGCCCUCAGCUCAACUGAGGAAGUGCGCCCGAAACUACUGUUCUUGAGUGUCGGAGAGGGUGGCGGAAUUCCCGGUGUAGAGGUGAAAUUCGUAGAUAUCGGGAGGAACACCAGUGGCGAAGGCGGCCACCUGGCCGAACACUGACGCUGAGACGCGAAAGCGUGGGGAGCAAAC
RNAcentral lists this ribosomal RNA (250 nucleotides) under uncultured bacterium. RNAcentral's name for it is "partial 16S ribosomal RNA". It matches the Rfam family "Bacterial small subunit ribosomal RNA", at positions 524 to 773 of the family's 1533-position model. The record is from RNAcentral.